CAGUCGCCACGGUAAUACGGAGGGGGCUAGCGUCGUUCGGAAUUACUGGGCGUAAAGCGCACGUAGGCGGCUUUGUAAGUUAGAGGUGAAAUCCUGGAGCUCAACUCCGGAACUGCCUUUGAUACUGAGGAUCUUGAGUUCGGGAGAGGUGAGUGGAACUGCGAGUGUAGAGGUGAAAUUCGUAGAUAUUCGCAAGAACACCAGUGGCGAAGGCGGCUCACUGGCCCGAUACUGACGCUGAGGCACGAAAGCGUGGGGAGCAAACAGGAUUAGAUACCCCAGUAGUCUCUGUCUCUUAUAC
Molecule: ribosomal RNA, 301 nt
Filed under: uncultured bacterium
Lineage: Bacteria
Description: partial 16S ribosomal RNA
Rfam family: Bacterial small subunit ribosomal RNA
Source: RNAcentral